This is a long non-coding RNA of Ictalurus punctatus (channel catfish), 174 nucleotides long. RefSeq lists it as uncharacterized. NCBI's taxonomy places the organism in Eukaryota, Metazoa, Chordata, Actinopteri, Siluriformes, Ictaluridae. The record is from RefSeq and is a predicted model, not a curated record. The transcript is spliced from 2 exons.
CUGAUUCGAAACAAAAGAUUCGUAAAGGUUCGAAGUUUCAGGAAGCAGUGUUUUGAAAGGAAAGCGCACAUCACUAGUUAUGAGUCUCUCCAAGCAGACUGGGCAUCUGGACGGUACACAGAUUCCUGUAAGGCACCGGCGGCAGAACGAGUGUCCGCAACUCACCGUUACCGG